AUUGUCAAGUGAUGAGUGGGAUAGUAUACCUGAAAUAGGGGAUUAUUCGUUACGAAACAAGAAGAAGAGGUUUGAGAGUUUUGUGCCUGUACCUGAUACUCUUUUGGAGAAGGCUAGGCAGGAAAAAGAGCACGUAACUGCAUUGGAUCCGAGGAGCAGGAUGGUUGGUGGCAUGGAGACGCCCUCUUCACAGACGCCAGUUGCAGAUUUGACUGCUGUGGGUGAAGGGAGAGGAACUGUGUUGUCAGUGAGGUUGGAUAGGAUUUUGGAUUCUGUUACUGGGCAAACCGUCGUGGAUCCUAAGGGAUACUUGACUGAUUUGAAGAGUAUGAAAAUUACUAGUGAUGCUGAGAUUUCCGAUAUAAAGAAGGCUAGAUUGUUGCUUAAGUCGGUUACUCAGACCAAUCCAAAGCAUCCUCCUGGUUGGAUAGCAGCUGCUAGACUGGAGGAGGUUGCUGGGAAGAUG
This 466-nucleotide unclassified non-coding RNA is filed under the name Hevea brasiliensis (rubber tree). The record is from RNAcentral. Lineage: Eukaryota; Viridiplantae; Streptophyta; Magnoliopsida; Malpighiales; Euphorbiaceae.